CCUACGGGAGGCAGCAGUGAGGAAUAUUGGUCAAUGGACGAGAGUCUGAACCAGCCAAGUAGCGUGAAGGAUGACUGCCCUAUGGGUUGUAAACUUCUUUUAUAUGGGAAUAAAGCGUGCCACGUGUGGGAUUUUGUAUGUACCAUAUGAAUAAGGAUCGGCUAACUCCGUGCCAGCAGCCGCGGUAAUACGGAGGAUCCGAGCGUUAUCCGGAUUUAUUGGGUUUAAAGGGAGCGUAGGUGGGUUGUUAAGUCAGUUGUGAAAGUUUGCGGCUCAACCGUAAAAUUGCAGUUGAUACUGGCAGUCUUGAGUACAGUAGAGGUGGGCGGAAUUCGUGGUGUAGCGGUGAAAUGCUUAGAUAUCACGAAGAACUCCGAUUGCGAAGGCAGUUCACUAGACUGCAACUGACACUGAGGCUCGAAAGUGUGGGUAUCAAACAGGAUUAGAUACCCGGGUAGUC
This 460-nucleotide ribosomal RNA is filed under the name uncultured bacterium. RNAcentral describes it as "partial 16S ribosomal RNA". It matches the Rfam family "Bacterial small subunit ribosomal RNA", at positions 338 to 795 of the family's 1533-position model. The record is from RNAcentral.